GAACCACAUUGUUGUGGAUCCAAGGCAGACUCCAAGGUCUGUCGUGGCUGUGGGCCUGAGGAAAUCUUGUGCCCUCUCAAGUACAAUUGAUGCUAAAAGCAACUAACCUCUGGGGUUUUGUAUCUAUGAGACCGUGGAGACCCAGCCCUCAAAGUUACCAGGACACACAGGAAUCCCGGGGUUGCUGACUGAGGGUCCCCUUGAACCCUGCUGAGCAUGAAAGAUGGAAUGCCCGCUCUGUGUGUGACGCUGGCCCAAGGCAUCCCUGAUGGUGAACUCCAAAUGAUGCACAUGUUGUGCAGGGCCGCCCUCCAAGCAAAGCGACCACCACCUUCAGGAGUUCUGCUGGCCUGCUCAGAAAAGCUCA
Molecule: long non-coding RNA, 367 nt
Organism: Psammomys obesus (fat sand rat)
Lineage: Eukaryota; Metazoa; Chordata; Mammalia; Rodentia; Muridae
Exons: 4
Source: RefSeq, a predicted model, not a curated record